GAUGAACGCUGGCGGCGUGCCUAAUACAUGCAAGUCGAGCGAACAGACGAGGAGCUUGCUCCUCUGACGUUAGCGGCGGACGGGUGAGUAACACGUGGAUAACCUACCUAUCAGACUGGGAUAACUUCGGGAAACCGGAGCUAAUACCGGAUAACAUGUUGAACCGCAUGGUUCAACAGUGAAAGACGGUCUUGCUGUCACUUCUAGAUGGAUCCGCGCCGCAUUAGCUAGUUGGUAAGUUAACGGCUUACCAAGGCAACGAUGCGUAGCCGACCUGAGAGGGUGAUCGGCCACACUGGAACUGAGACACGGUCCAGACUCCUACGGGAGGCAGCAGUAGGGAAUCUUCCGCAAUGGGCGAAAGCCUGACGGAGCAACGCCGCGUGAGUGAAGAAGGUCUUCGGAUCGUAAAACUCUGUUAUUAGGGAAGAACAAAUGUGUAAGUAACUAUGCACGUCCUGACGGUACCUAAUCAGAAAGCCACGGCUAACUACGUG
RNAcentral lists this ribosomal RNA (497 nucleotides) under uncultured bacterium. RNAcentral's name for it is "partial 16S ribosomal RNA". It matches the Rfam family "Bacterial small subunit ribosomal RNA", at positions 28 to 507 of the family's 1533-position model. The record is from RNAcentral.